Molecule: ribosomal RNA, 269 nt
Filed under: uncultured prokaryote
Description: partial 16S ribosomal RNA
Rfam family: Bacterial small subunit ribosomal RNA
Source: RNAcentral
UACGGAGGAUCCGAGCGUUAUCCGGAUUUAUUGGGUUUAAAGGGUGCGCAGGCGGGAGAUUAAGUCGGCGGUGAAAUUUUGCAGCUCAACUGUAAAAGUGCCUUCGAAACUGGUUUCCUUGAGUGUAGAUGAAGUAGGCGGAAUUUGUGGUGUAGCGGUGAAAUGCAUAGAUAUCACGAGGAACUCCGAUUGCGCAGGCAGCUUACUAAGCCAUAACUGACGCUCAGGCACGAAGGCGUGGGGAUCAAACAGGAUUAGAUACCCGUGUA